UGGGGAAUUUUGGACAAUGGGCGAAAGCCUGAUCCAGCAAUGCCGCGUGUGUGAAGAAGGCCUUCGGGUUGUAAAGCACUUUUGUCCGGAAAGAAAUCCUUGGCUCUAAUACAGUCGGGGGAUGACGGUACCGGAAGAAUAAGCACCGGCUAACUACGUGCCAGCAGCCGCGGUAAUACGUAGGGUGCAAGCGUUAAUCGGAAUUACUGGGCGUAAAGCGUGCGCAGGCGGUUUGCUAAGACCGAUGUGAAAUCCCCGGGCUCAACCUGGGAACUGCAUUGGGUGACUGGCAGGCUAGAGUAUGGCAGAGGGGGGUAGAAUUCCACGUGUAGCAGUGAAAUGCGUAGAGAUGUGGAGGAAUACCGAUGGCGAAGGCAGCCCCCCUGGGCCAAUACUGACGCUCAUGCACGAAAGCGCUGGGGAGCAAACAGGAUUAGAUACCCUGGUAGUCCACGCCCUAAACGAUGUCAACUAGUUGUUGGGGAUUCAUUUCCUUAGUAACGUAGCUAACGCGUGAAGUUGACCGCCUGGGGAGUACGGUCGCAAGAUUAAAACUCAAAGGAAUUGACGGGGUCAUAGCUGUUUCCU
This 588-nucleotide ribosomal RNA is filed under the name uncultured bacterium. RNAcentral's name for it is "partial 16S ribosomal RNA". It matches the Rfam family "Bacterial small subunit ribosomal RNA", at positions 355 to 1375 of the family's 1533-position model. The record is from RNAcentral.